GUCCGGCUCCUAAACACCUGAUUUACAACUACGACUAACCGAGGUGUGCUGUACUUGUAAUAACCACACUGGAUUUUGAAGUCUUGGCAUAAGUAAAAGAUUAUCUCCUUAAUAAUUUUCAUGUUGAUUAUAUGUUGAAACGAUAGCAUGUUGGAUGUACAGGGUUAAAUAAAAUACAAUGUUAAAUUUAAGUUUGCUUCUUUUUCUCUUAUCUGCUAGGAAAUUGAGGAUGACCUCAGUGACUCCUGUUCUGUCCCUGCUGGAGGGUACCGCAGCCCACCUCCCAUGAAUGCCUGUUUGGAACGCGGACUCUGCAGUGUUCCUGGAGCAGAAAAGGGCCACCCCUGCAUCUCACACACAACUUCAGGGCCUGAGGCCUUUCCGAAACCCAGCCAGCAAGCCCUGCAGGAGCAUCUCCUCGGCCCGAUUCCGCGUCAGCAGCUGAGUACCAUGCACUGGGGUGAGGGUACCACCGUCCCCGAUCAAGGUGACCCCUCACACUCCCUGAGUUCUCGGACAGUCAAAGCCCGCAGAGCAUGCCCGUG
This 545-nucleotide long non-coding RNA is filed under the name Fukomys damarensis (Damara mole-rat). RNAcentral's name for it is "lncRNA (ENSFDAG00000029065.1)". The record is from RNAcentral. Lineage: Eukaryota; Metazoa; Chordata; Mammalia; Rodentia; Bathyergidae.